CGACAAAUAGGCUGUGUCCCAAUUCCUAGGACGCAUCCUUCGAAGGCUGCAUUCGAAGGAUGCGUCGACGCCGAUUGCGUCACAGCGUCGCGCCAAGUGCUGUCCCAAUUCCAAGGGUCCUUCAAAUGCGGCCUACGAAUGCAGCCUUCUUUUCCCGGAUUUGAAGGAUGCAUCGGCUGUAUCCUUCACGGCCCAACGUAUCCCAAGAUCCUUCACGGCCCAACGUAUCCCUCCCAAGAUUCAUUGCGCAUUCAAUCAAUGGAGAUGGCGGAGAAUGGCGAUUUAGGUUCUGCAUUUAAAUGGGGCCAGCAGCAUACUGCUCGAUUUAUUCUAUUGAGGGGGGAGAACGAUGAGCAAGUGUGGCUUGGGGGACAAUUCUGGAGAAAAUAGGCCUGCAGGGGAAGGUGACUCCCCUGCAGGCAAAGAAAAAAAUGGGACAAUUUAAAAAAUAUAUAUAAAGAUUGCAAGUAUCCAGGGUCAGGAGAGGGGGUAGGUGGGAAACCCGGUGCUGCCACUUGGCCCUGGUUUGUCCUCAUGGAUGAGGUAUUGGGACAGAGGCAUUCCACCAACCCCCCUGUCCAAAUUGCCUCCAUCCCUGAGAACACACCAGGGCCAAGUACAGCAAGUACAGCAGUGGUGGGUCAGGAGGUGGAGGACAAGGAUCAGGAGGAGGAAAGACAGCGAGGGCCAAGGUCCAGAAAGAGGGACAGAGAUGAAGACAUGUUCCAGAGUCGCUCACUAUCUUCCGAAAAGGACUCAAGACUCACCUGUUCAGAGUCCACCUCGACUGCAUAGCCACCCUCCCCCUUCUGGCAACCAUUGUACACUGUGUUGUAUUGUAUUGUAUUAUAGUACUUAACUGUGUAGCAACUGCAGUAGCUGCUAUCAUGGCUGUAACACGGGGAAUUGAUUAGCCUAGCGAUUGUGGUACUUGCACUUGGUUCUAUGAACAUCCUUUCUGUACCGACAGCGAUAUAUUGAUGCACUUCUUAUGACAAAUGUACUUAUUGUAAAUCGCUUUGGAUUAAAGAUUAAAGCGUCUGCUAAAUGCCCUAAAUGUAAAUGUAAAAUGUAAAUGUUCCAGUUAAUAAAAGAGGACAUGAGGCUACAAAGGGGGGAGGCAGAGGAGAGAAGAGCCCAGGGAAAGAAUGGAUAGGUUUUUCUAAUUUUUGGAGUGUUUGGUGGACAAAUAACUUAUGUUCUGUUAUAUUUAAAAGAUUGUUUAUUAUUAUUUACAUAUUUAUUGAAACUAACUUAUUUAACUAACUAUUUAACUAACUUUUUUGAUUAACUAUUUACUAAAACCCUUACUAACUUUUUUGUAUUGACUAAUGUAUUCGUAUAUAACUUAUAAAACAUAUAUACAACAAUAAAACUAUUUACAACAAACAUU
Long non-coding RNA from Gadus macrocephalus (Pacific cod), 1393 nucleotides. RefSeq lists it as uncharacterized. NCBI's taxonomy places the organism in Eukaryota, Metazoa, Chordata, Actinopteri, Gadiformes, Gadidae. The record is from RefSeq and is a predicted model, not a curated record. The transcript has 4 exons.